AGCGAACGCUGGCGGCAGGCCUAACACAUGCAAGUCGAACGAACUCUUCGGGGUUAGUGGCGGACGGGUGAGUAACGCGUGGGAACCUGCCUUUAGGUUCGGAAUAACUCCCGGAAAGGGGUGCUAAUACCGGAUAUGCUCUUCGGACAAAGGAUUUAUCGCCUUUGGAGGGGCCCGCGUCGGAUUAGCUAGUUGGUGGGGUAAAGGCCUACCAAGGCGACGAUCAGUAGCUGGUCUGAGAGGAUGAUCAGCAAAAUUGGGAUUGGGACACGGCCCGAAUCCUACGGGAGGGAGGAAGUGGGGAUACUGGACAAUGGGGGGAAGGCCUAACGCACCCUGCCGGGGUAGAUAUUGAAGGUUUUAGGAUGGUAAGCUCCUUUACCCGGGGACGUUAAGACAGUACCGGGAGAAUAAGGCCCGGCUUACUUCGUG
This 432-nucleotide ribosomal RNA is filed under the name uncultured bacterium. RNAcentral's name for it is "partial 16S ribosomal RNA". It matches the Rfam family "Bacterial small subunit ribosomal RNA", at positions 29 to 507 of the family's 1533-position model. The record is from RNAcentral.